This 1117-nucleotide unclassified non-coding RNA is filed under the name Hevea brasiliensis (rubber tree). The record is from RNAcentral. Lineage: Eukaryota; Viridiplantae; Streptophyta; Magnoliopsida; Malpighiales; Euphorbiaceae.
AUCACAGAAGUGAAACCGAACAAGGUACUGAAAUCCGGGAUCAACAAUGAACUCCCAGGUCAAAUUCACAUUCACAUUCCCAGAAUCUAUUGAUUUCAAAAUGGUCGCUGUACCAUAAACGACCGAAGGAGCAGUAUCUGGUGUUGCCCCACCUAAAACGUACUUGACAGCGCUGAUAUCGGAUAUGUUUGCGGCAACAUUCAGGUUGACGAGAAAACCUUGGUCAGAAACCCAAGUUCGUCCAAGGUUAUCAUUCUCAGGGAAAAUUGUCGGUCCACCCAUGUUCACCCGAAAAAGAGUCUCUAGAGCUUGUGAAAACAUGCCUUGGAAAUUCCCAGGAGGAUUAAUAGUGCUGGCAUCAUCUGUGAUGAGUGCAUCUGGGACGGAAACAACUUCCAGAGCAUUCAAGAAUGCAAAGGAAUUUUUGGAUGGGAUUCUAAAAGUAAUUUGAAGGGUGUUGGAGGUUACGUUAAUAGAAAAUUCUUUAACAACAUAAGAGUCUACACCGAAAUUGCUGAGAAUGGCAUGACCUUGGGUGAGAACAUCAAAAUUUGCGCUACUCAUAUUGUAAACAUCAUGAACAAACGGAUAGAAAUAAAGGCGAAUCCAGUGUCUGCCAGGUUGUUGAAUUGGAAAUGUGUAUAUGGAGGUUCCAUCAAGGAUUCUUGCUGUUUGAUAGAGGAAUGAGUCGUCGGAGGAAGUGACAGAUACUGAAGUUUUGGCAAAAAUGAUUUUUGGGGUUGAGAGGGAGUACGCGGCGGAGUUGUCAGCCAAGAAAACACGGUUGCCCACUCUAGUAUCCUUGCUCGACCCGCAGUUUAUUAGAUAAUUGUCAACAGGUUCAAAUCCACAGCAUAAACAUGCCGAGCCCAAGAUUGUUACAGCACGAAUGAAAAAUUUUAAUCCUCUAUCAGUCAUCAUUACAAAAUCUGGGAAAUUUAUAAGGGAACAGAGAACUACUACUGUCCCAGCAAAGAGAACAAAAUGAUAUGUGACGGUGGGUUGGUAAGGGACUUUUGUGGCCGUUGGCUUAGGGCUUUGCUGCGUCGUUUGGGAAGACUUCUGUCCUAGCGGCUGAGCUCUGGUCCAUCUAUGAAGGCCUCAAACUAGUCCGUAG